This 663-nucleotide ribosomal RNA is filed under the name uncultured bacterium. RNAcentral describes it as "bacterial SSU rRNA". It matches the Rfam family "Bacterial small subunit ribosomal RNA", at positions 95 to 744 of the family's 1533-position model. The record is from RNAcentral.
GUGGCGGACGGGUGAGUAACACGUGGGUAACCUGCCCUUAAGUGGGGGAUAACAUUUGGAAACAGAUGCUAAUACCGCAUAGAUCCAAGAACCGCAUGGUUCUUGGCUGAAAGAUGGCGUAAGCUAUCGCUUUUGGAUGGACCCGCGGCGUAUUAGCUAGUUGGUGAGGUAACGGCUCACCAAGGCGAUGAUACGUAGCCGAACUGAGAGGUUGAUCGGCCACAUUGGGACUGAGACACGGCCCAAACUCCUACGGGAGGCAGCAGUAGGGAAUCUUCCACAAUGGACGCAAGUCUGAUGGAGCAACGCCGCGUGAGUGAAGAAGGCUUUCGGGUCGUAAAACUCUGUUGUUGGAGAAGAAUGGUCGGCAGAGUAACUGUUGUCGGCGUGACGGUAUCCAACCAGAAAGCCACGGCUAACUACGUGCCAGCAGCCGCGGUAAUACGUAGGUGGCAAGCGUUAUUCGGAUUUAUUGGGCGUAAAGCGAGCGCAGGCGGUUUUUUAAGUCUGAUGUGAAAGCCCUCGGCUUAACCGAGGAAGCGCAUCGGAAACUGGGAAACUUGAGUGCAGAAGAGGACAGUGGAACUCCAUGUGUAGCGGUGAAAUGCGUAGAUAUAUGGAAGAACACCAGUGGCGAAGGCGGCUGUCUGGUCUGUAACUGAC